UCCGUAGGCGGUUUAGUAAGUCAGUGGUGAAAGCCCAUCGCUCAACGGUGGAACGGCCAUUGAUACUGCUAGACUUGAAUUAUUAGGAAGUAACUAGAAUAUGUAGUGUAGCGGUGAAAUGCUUAGAGAUUACAUGGAAUACCAAUUGCGAAGGCAGGUUACUACUAAUGGAUUGACGCUGAUGGACGAAAGCGUGGGUAGCGAACAGGAUUAGAUACCCUGGUAGUCCACGCCGUAAACGAUGGAUACUAGCUGUUGGGGGCAACUUCAGUGGCUAAGCGAAAGUGAUAAGUAUCCCACCAGGGGAGUACGUUCGCAAGAAUGAA
Molecule: ribosomal RNA, 326 nt
Filed under: uncultured bacterium
Lineage: Bacteria
Description: bacterial SSU rRNA
Rfam family: Bacterial small subunit ribosomal RNA
Source: RNAcentral